CAGAUGGACUAAUAUAACCAGCUAGAGACAGUCAGGUUGGACAGGUGACUAAUAUAACCAGCUAGAGACAGUAAAAGACAGGCAGUCAGGUUGGACAGGUGACUAAUAUAACCAGCUAGAGACAGUAAAAGACAGGCAGUCAGGUUGGACAGAGGACUAAUAUAACCAGCUAGAGACAGUAAAAGACAGGCAGUCAGGUUGGAGAGAUGACUAAUAUAACCAGCUAGAGACAGUAAAAGACAGGCAGUCAGGUUGGACAGAGGACUAAUAUAAACAGCUAGAGACAGUCAGGUUGAACAGAGGACUAAUACAACCAGCUAGAGACAGUAAAAGACAGGCAGUCAGGUUGGACAGGUGACUAAUAUAACCAGCUAGAGACAGUAAAAGACAGGCAGUCAGGUUGGAGAGAUGACUAAUAUAACCAGCUAGAGACAGUUAGGUUGGACAGAUGACUAAUAUAACCAGCUAGAGACAGUCAGGUUGGACAGGUGACUAAUAUAAACAGCUAGAGACAGUAAAAGACAUGCAGUCAGGUUGGACAGGUGACUAAUAUAACCAGCUAGAGACAGUAAUAGACAGGCAGUCAGGUUGGACAGGUGACUGAUAUAACCAGCUAGAGACAGUCAGGUUGGACAGGUGACUAAUAUAACCAGCUAGAGACAGUAAGGUUGGACAGAGGACUAAUAUAACCAGCUAGAGACAGUAAAAGACAGGCAGUCAGGUUGGAGAGAUGACUAAUAUAACCAGCUAGAGACAGUUAGGUUGGACAGAUGACUAAUAUAACCAGCUAGAGACAGUCAGGUUGGACAGGUGACUAAUAUAACCAGCUAGAGACAGUAAUAGACAGGCAGUCAGGUUGGACAGGUGACUGAUAUAACCAGCUAGAGACACUCAGGUUGGACAGGUGACUAAUAUAACCAGCUAGAGACAGUAAGGUUGGACAGAGGACUAAUAUCACCAGCUAGAGACAGUAAUAGACAGGCAGUCAGGUUGGACAGGUGACUGAUAUAACCAGCUAGAGACAGUAAAAGACAGGCAGUCAGGUUGGACAGAUGACUAAUAUAACCAGCUCGAGACAGUCAGGUUGGACAGAUUGCUAAUAUAACCAGCUAGAGACAGUCAGGUAGGGCAGGUGACUAAUAUAACCAGCGAGAGACUGUAAGGUUGGACAGGUGACUAUUAUAACCAGCUAGAGACAGUCAGGUUGGACAGGUGACUAAUAUAACCAGCUAGAGACAGUAAGGUUGGACCGAGGACUAAUAUAACCAGCUAGAGACAGUAAAAGACAGGCAGUCAGGUUGGACAGGUGACUAAUAUAACCAGCUAGAGACAGUAAAAGACAGGCAGUCAGGUUGGACAGGUGACUAAUAUAACCAGCUAGAGACAGUCAGGUUGGACAGAUGACUAAUAUAACCAGCUAGAGACAGUCAGGUUGGACAGGUGACUAAUAUAACCAGCUAGAGACAGUCAGGUUGGACAGACGACUAAUAUAACCAGCUAGAGACAUUCAGGUUGGACAGAGGACUAAUAUCACCAGCUAGAGACAGUCAGGUUGGACAGGUGACUAAUAUAACCAGCUAGAGACAGUCAGGUUGGACAGACGACUCAUAUAACCCGCUAGAGACAGUCAGGUUGGACAGGUGACUAAUAUAACCAGCUAGAGACAGUCAGGUUGGACAGGUGACUAAUAUAACCAGCUAGAGACAGUCAGGUUGGACAGGUGACUAAUAUAACCAGCUAGAGACAGUCAGGUUGGACAGAGGACUAAUAUAACCAGCUAGAGACAGUCAGGUUGGACAGAUGACUAAUAUCACCAACUAGAGACAGUCAGGUUGGACAGAUGACUAAUAUAACCAACUAGAGACAGUCAGGUUGGACAGACGACUAAUAUAACCAGCUAGAGACAGUCAGGUUGGACAGAUGGCUAAUAUAACCAGCUAGAGACAGUCAGGUUGGACAGAGGACUAAUAUAACCAGCUAGGGACAGUAAAAGACAGGCAGUCAGGUUGGACAGGUGACUAAUACAACCAGCUAGAGACAGUCAGGUUGGACAGAGGACUAAUAUAACCAACUAGAGACAGUCAGGUUGGACAGACGACUAAUAUAACCAGCUAGAGACAGUCAGGUUGGACAGAUGGCUAAUAUAACCAGCUAGAGACAGUCAGGUUGGACAGAGGACUAAUAUAACCAGCUAGGGACAGUAAAAGACAGGCAGUCAGGUUGGACAGGUGACUAAUACAACCAGCUAGAGACAGUCAGGUUGGACAGAGGACUAAUAUAACCAACUAGAGACAGUAAGGUUGGACAGACGACUAAUAUAACCAGCCAGAGACAGUCAGGUUGGACAGUAGACUAAUAUAACCAGCUAGAGACAGUAAGGUUGGACACAUGGCUAAUAUAACCAGCUAGAGACAGUCAGGUUGGACAGAGGACUAAUAUAACCAGCUAGAGACAGUCAGGUUGGACAGUAGACUAAUAUAACCAGCUAGAGACAGUCAGGUUGGACAGAGGACUAAUAUAACCAGCUAGAGACAGUCAGGUUGGACAGAGGACUAAUACAACCAGCGAGAGACAGUCAGGUUGGACAGAGGACUAAUAUAACCAGCUAGAGACAGUCAGGUUGGACAGACGACUAAUAUAACCAGCUAGGGACAGUAAAAGACAGGCAGUCAGGUUGGACAGGUGACUAAUACAACCAGCUAGAGACAGUCAGGUUGGACAGAGGACUAAUAUAACCAGCUAGAGACAGUCAGGUUGGACAGACGACUAAUAUAACCAGCUAGGGACAGUAAAAGACAGGCAGUCAGGUUGGACAGAGGACUAAUAUAACCAGCUAGAGACAGUCAGGUUGGACAGAGGACUAAUACAACCAGCUAGAGACAGUCAGGUUGGACAGACGACUAAUAUAACCAGCUAGAGACAGUCAGGUUGGACAGAGGACUAAUAUAACCAGCUAGAGACAGUCAGGUUGGACAGGUGACUAAUACAACCAGCCAGAGACAGUAAAAAGUCAUCAGUAAUCCACGAGCCAGUCAGGUUGGACAGAGGACUAAUACAACCAGCCAGAGACAGUAAAAAGUCAUCAGUAAUCCACGAGCCAGUCAGGUUGGACAGAGGACUAAUACAACCAGCCAGAGACAGUAAAAAGUCAUCAGUAAUCCACGAGCCAGUCAGGUUGGACAGAGGACUAAUACAACCAGCCAGAGACAGUAAAAAGUCAUCAGUAAUCCACGAGCCAGUCAGG
Long non-coding RNA from Oncorhynchus keta (chum salmon), 3244 nucleotides. RefSeq lists it as uncharacterized. The transcript has 4 exons. Lineage: Eukaryota; Metazoa; Chordata; Actinopteri; Salmoniformes; Salmonidae. The record is from RefSeq and is a predicted model, not a curated record.